CCGCCAGAGAACUACUAGUGAAAACUUAAAACUCAAAGGACUUGGCGGUGUCCCAUAUCGACCUAGAGGAGCCUGUCCUAUAAUCGAUACCCCCCGUUCCACCCGACCUUCACUCGCACAUUCAGCCUAUAUACCGCCGUCGACAGUCUACCCCAUGAGGGUCUUUUAGUAGACACAAUAACAACUUUUGCUAGUACGUCAGGUCAAGGUGUAGCAGAUGUCAAGGAAGCGAUUGGCUACAUUUUUUAUUUUUAAACAAACGAAAUGCAACAUGAAACAUUGCACGAAGGUGAAUUUAGCAGUAAAUU
Molecule: ribosomal RNA, 308 nt
Filed under: Acanthodactylus schmidti
Lineage: Eukaryota; Metazoa; Chordata; Lepidosauria; Squamata; Lacertidae
Description: partial 12S ribosomal RNA
Rfam family: Bacterial small subunit ribosomal RNA
Source: RNAcentral